UUGGGCAUAAGCUUUUUUUUUUACCGACGAAAUAGUUUUUUACCCACGAAAGCUUACGCCCAAAUAAUUCUGAGGAUAGUAACUAAAAACCUUGAAUCCAUAUGACUUCAGUUUGCAUUAAGGACUUACUGUACCAGAUAACUGGCUGGAAUAAAGGCACACCAGACUGGAUACCCAAGAAGAUGUUAGAGUACUCCCUGAUCUAAAUUGAAUGUAACUGCACCUACCAUGGGAAUUGGUGAAGGCUGAAAGAAACAUUUUCCCUUGAAAAUAUUCCAGAGGAGGAAUUGCCUAUUCAGUAUUUUACUGAGUCUGGAUUAUACAGUGUCACACUGAAGCUGUGAAGUCCAGGGUGGGCCUGAGAAUUUAAAUAAAUUGAAGAGGCCUCAUACCUAAGUUUGUAAAGACAUUAUGACAGUAUUCUUGAGCCAGAGCAGACAGCUGAUUCCUUUCUUCAUGGACCAUUUUCUGCAACUCCAAAAUAUGGUGCUGAAGUAGAAAGCCUCUUUCCUGUUCCAGCCUCUGGACUAUGAACAUAUACUAAUGGGAGCAUUCUAACCAAGGGAAUGAGCACUUUAAGGUAAUCUGGAGCCUUAAUAUUUCCUUGAUCCUUUGCAGAUGGACUUAUGAGUUGGAUAUGGUACAGAGACUGUUCUAGCCUCAUUGAUUGCUGAUUUCUCCAUUGCAAUGGACAAAGAUCAGAUGUCUGCUGACUUUUUCACCAGUCAGCAGCCUUUGAU
Long non-coding RNA from Mauremys reevesii (Reeves's turtle), 740 nucleotides. RefSeq lists it as uncharacterized. The record is from RefSeq and is a predicted model, not a curated record. The transcript is spliced from 3 exons. NCBI's taxonomy places the organism in Eukaryota, Metazoa, Chordata, Testudines, Geoemydidae.